RNAcentral lists this small nuclear RNA (107 nucleotides) under Myotis davidii. Lineage: Eukaryota; Metazoa; Chordata; Mammalia; Chiroptera; Vespertilionidae. The record is from RNAcentral.
GUGCUUGCUUCAGCAGCACAUAUACUAAAAUUGGAAGGAUAUAGAGAAGAUUAGCAUGGCCCCUGUGCAAGGAUGACAUGCAAAUUCAUGAAGUAUUCUAUAUUUAA